This 429-nucleotide ribosomal RNA is filed under the name Chloroflexota bacterium. Its description in RNAcentral is "Chloroflexi bacterium partial 16S ribosomal RNA". It matches the Rfam family "Bacterial small subunit ribosomal RNA", at positions 355 to 776 of the family's 1533-position model. Lineage: Bacteria; Bacillati; Chloroflexota. The record is from RNAcentral.
UGGGGAAUAUUGCACAAUGGGCGCAAGCCUGAUGCAGCCAUGCCGCGUGUAUGAAGAAGGCCUUCGGUUUGUAAAGUACUUUCAGCGGGGAGGAAGGGAGUAAAGUUAAUACCUUUGCUCAUUGACGUUACCCGCAGAAGAAGCACCGGCUAACUCCGUCCCAGCAGCCGCGUUAAUACGGAGGGUGCAAGCGUUAAUCGGAAUUACUGGGCGUAAAGCGCACGCAGGCGGUUUGUUAAGUCAGAGGUGAAUUCCUCGGGCUCAACCUGGGAACUGCAUCUGAUACUGGCAAGCUUGAGUCUCGUAGAGAGGGGUAGAAUUCCAGGUGUAGCGGUGAAAUGCGUAGAGAUCUGGAGGAAUACCGGUGGCGAAAUCGGCCCCCUGGACGAGGACUGACGCUCAGGUGCGAAAGCGUGGGGAGCUAACAGG